GCGGUGAUGAUGUGGCAGUGAUGGUAGGUGAUGCAGAGUUCAAGUGACAAGCUGAUGAGGCUAUCUGAUCUGGGCUGUUGCUGGGGCCAAAUCCGUUGCUUGUAGGCUCACAACAAAGCUGGGUAAGCUUGUUGGGUGCGGAAGCUAAUCCAAACACUAGAUCCAUCGAGUUAAAGCUCUAGGGGCAUCAGACUGAAGUUCAGACAACGCAAAGAGAAAUCGG
RNAcentral lists this unclassified non-coding RNA (223 nucleotides) under Hevea brasiliensis (rubber tree). Lineage: Eukaryota; Viridiplantae; Streptophyta; Magnoliopsida; Malpighiales; Euphorbiaceae. The record is from RNAcentral.